RNAcentral lists this ribosomal RNA (767 nucleotides) under uncultured eukaryote. RNAcentral describes it as "bacterial SSU rRNA". It matches the Rfam family "Eukaryotic small subunit ribosomal RNA", at positions 296 to 1045 of the family's 1831-position model. The record is from RNAcentral.
CUUUCGAGCGUCUGCCUUAUCAACUGUCGAUGGUAGGUUAAGUGCCUACCAUGGUUGUAACGGGUAACGGGGAAUCAGGGUUCGAUUCCGGAGAGGGAGCCUGAGAAACGGCUACCACAUCCAAGGAAGGCAGCAGGCACGCAAAUUACCCACUCCCGGCUCGGGGAGGUAGUGACGAAAAAUAACAAUGCAGCACUCUAUUGAGGCGCUGCAAUUGGAAUGAGAACAGUCUAAAUCCUUUAGCGAGGAUCAAUUGGAGGGCAAGUCUGGUGCCAGCAGCCGCGGUAAUUCCAGCUCCAAUAGCGUAUAUUAAAGUUGUUGCGGUUAAAAAGCACGUAGUUGGAUCUCGGUUCGAGCUCGAUGCGGUCCGCUUGCCGGCGGUUACCGUUGUCACUGAACGAACAGCUUGUUGGGUGAAGCAAUCGCAUAGUGGCCUUAAUCGGCCGGCCGAUGCGGCGUCACCCCGUUUACUUUGAACAAAUUAGAGUGCUCAAAGCAGACCCGUAGCGGUCCGAAUACAUUCAGCAUGGAAUAAUGGAAUAUGUAGGUGUGUGCACCGUUCUGUUGGUCGUCGACACACUUCCUAAAUGAUUAUCGGGACAGACGGGGGCGUCCGUAUUGCUACGCUAGAGGUGAAAUUCUUGGACCGUAGCAAGACGAACUAAAGCGAAAGCAUUCGCCAAGAAUGUUUUCAUUAAUCAAGUACGAAAGUUAGAGGUUCGAAGGCGAUCAGAUACCGCCCUAGUUCUAACCAUAAACGAUGCCAA